RNAcentral lists this long non-coding RNA (482 nucleotides) under Ursus maritimus (polar bear). RNAcentral's name for it is "lncRNA (ENSUMAG00000022231.1)". Lineage: Eukaryota; Metazoa; Chordata; Mammalia; Carnivora; Ursidae. The record is from RNAcentral.
AUGCAAAGACAGCUCAAGUUCCAACACAGAGAAAACCAGAGAAGUUCCAAUCCAGCCUCUUCACGGGAUCCUGCUCUGCCUUCAACAGUUUCCAUUCUUUCGGAGAUGGAGCACCCACUCCACGUCAGUGCAAAACAAAGAAACGAAGAACAACCAACCCCUAGCUGUAAACCACCAUCUAGCUUUGACGCCACCUUCCCUCUCAGAAGCUCUUGUGCAACGUGGGCAUGCGAUGAUGGUGCAAAUAUGGGCAACUGUCCUACUGCACUUCAGCAGAGGGUCUCCGACCGACCAAGGCCCUGGGCAGAAGGCACACAGCUCUUAAGAGAUUCUCCCUUUCGAACUGACCACUUCUAUACGCCUCUGCCACGAAUGACUGGUUGUGUCUCAAACACAAACACAACAACAGAAACGAAAAGCAAGAAAGGCAUAGAAAGAGUGGGGGAAAUGGUUUAAAAAAUAAAUAGAAAAAUGUGUGUCCA